GACGAACGCUGGCGGCGUGCUUAACACAUGCAAGUCGAACGGAAAGGCCCUGCUUUUGUGGGGUGCUCGAGUGGCGAACGGGUGAGUAACACGUGAGUAACCUGCCCUUGACUUUGGGAUAACUUCAGGAAACUGGGGCUAAUACCGGAUAGGAGCUCCUGCUGCAUGGUGGGGGUUGGAAAGUUUCGGCGGUUGGGGAUGGACUCGCGGCUUAUCAGCUUGUUGGUGGGGUAGUGGCUUACCAAGGCUUUGACGGGUAGCCGGCCUGAGAGGGUGACCGGCCACAUUGGGACUGGGAUACGGCCCAGACUCCUACGGGAGGCAGCAGUGGGGAAUAUUGCACAAUGGGCGGAAGCCUGAUGCAGCAACGCCGCGUGCGGGAUGACGGCCUUCGGGUUGUAGACCGCUUUCGCCUGUGACGAAGCGUGAGUGACGGUAAUGGGUAAAGAAGCACCGGCUAACUACGUG
RNAcentral lists this ribosomal RNA (468 nucleotides) under uncultured bacterium. RNAcentral's name for it is "partial 16S ribosomal RNA". It matches the Rfam family "Bacterial small subunit ribosomal RNA", at positions 28 to 507 of the family's 1533-position model. The record is from RNAcentral.